This 515-nucleotide ribosomal RNA is filed under the name uncultured bacterium. Its description in RNAcentral is "partial 16S ribosomal RNA". It matches the Rfam family "Bacterial small subunit ribosomal RNA", at positions 28 to 523 of the family's 1533-position model. The record is from RNAcentral.
GAUGAACGCUGGCGGCGUGCCUAAUACAUGCAAGUCGAGCGAAUGGAUUAAGAGCUUGCUCUUAUGAAGUUAGCGGCGGACGGGUGAGUAACACGUGGGUAACCUGCCCAUAAGACUGGGAUAACUCCGGGAAACCGGGGCUAAUACCGGAUAACAUUUUGAACCGCAUGGUUCGAAAUUGAAAGGCGGCUUCGGCUGUCACUUCUGGAUGGACCCGCGUCGCCUUAGCUAGUUGGUGAGGUAACGGCUCACCAAGGCAACGAUGCGUAACCGACCUGAGAGGGUGAUCGGCCACACUGGGACUGAGACACGGCCCAGCCUCCUACGGGAGGCAGCAGUAGGGAAUCUUCCGCAAUGGACGAAAGUCUGACGGAGCAACGCCGCGUGAGUGAUGAGGGCUUUCGGGUCGUAAAACUCUGUUGUUAGGGAAGAACAAGUGCUAGUUGAAUAAGCUGACACCUUGACGGUACCUAACCAGAAAGCCACGGCUAACUACGUGCCAGCCGCCGCCGUAA